UACGUAGGGGGCAAGCGUUAUCCGGAUUCACUGGGUGUAAAGGGAGCGUAGACGGCAGAGCAAGUCUGAAGUGAAAGCCCGCGGCCCAACUGCGGGACUGCUUUGGAAACUGCCCGGCUAGAGUGCUGGAGAGGUAAGCGGAAUUCCUAGUGUAGCGGUGAAAUGCGUAGAUAUUAGGAGGAACACCAGUGGCGAAGGCGGCUUACUGGACAGUAACUGACGUUGAGGCUCGAAAGCGUGGGGAGCAAACAGG
This 253-nucleotide ribosomal RNA is filed under the name uncultured bacterium. RNAcentral describes it as "partial 16S ribosomal RNA". It matches the Rfam family "Bacterial small subunit ribosomal RNA", at positions 524 to 776 of the family's 1533-position model. The record is from RNAcentral.